UGUUCCUGAGCCUUGUACACACCGCCCGUCAAGUCAUGGGAGCCGGGAAUACCCGAAGUCGGCCCCGAUUCAGGGGUGCCGACGGUAGGCUCGGUGACUGGGACU
Molecule: ribosomal RNA, 105 nt
Filed under: uncultured bacterium
Lineage: Bacteria
Description: partial 16S ribosomal RNA
Rfam family: Bacterial small subunit ribosomal RNA
Source: RNAcentral